RNAcentral lists this ribosomal RNA (253 nucleotides) under uncultured bacterium. Its description in RNAcentral is "partial 16S ribosomal RNA". It matches the Rfam family "Bacterial small subunit ribosomal RNA", at positions 524 to 776 of the family's 1533-position model. The record is from RNAcentral.
UACGUAGGUGGCAAGCGUUGUCCGGAUUUACUGGGCGUAAAGGAUGCGUAGGCGGACAUUUAAGUCAGAUGUGAAAUACCCGAGCUUAACUUGGGUGCUGCAUUUGAAACUGGGUGUCUAGAGUGCAGGAGAGGUAAGUGGAAUUCCUAGUGUAGCGGUGAAAUGCGUAGAGAUUAGGAAGAACACCGGUGGCGAAGGCGGCUCUCUGGACCGAGACUGACGCUGAGGCGCGAAAGCGUGGGGAGCAAACAGG